UACGGAGGAUGCAAGCGUUAUCCGGAUUUAUUGGGUUUAAAGGGUGCGCAGGUUGUUUGAUAAGUCAGUGGUGAAAGUCUGUCGCUUAACGGUAGGAUUGCCAUUGAUACUGUUGGACUUGAAUAUGGAUGAGGUAGGCGGAAUGUGUAGUGUAGCGGUGAAAUGCAUAGAUAUCAGGAGGAACACCGAUGGCGAAGGCAGCCCCCUGGGCCUGUACUGACGCUCAUGCACGAAAGCGUGGGGAGCAAACAGGA
RNAcentral lists this ribosomal RNA (254 nucleotides) under uncultured prokaryote. Its description in RNAcentral is "partial 16S ribosomal RNA". It matches the Rfam family "Bacterial small subunit ribosomal RNA", at positions 524 to 777 of the family's 1533-position model. The record is from RNAcentral.